AUGCACAGUGAACACCCACGGCUGCUAAUGUGGCUCACCCUGGUCUUUUGUAUAUCUGUGCUACAGUAACUCUGAUCUGUACCUCUGCAUUAGGAGAGUUUACUUCUCUCUUACAUGUAUUCAGCGGAUCAGAACAAUA
Cynoglossus semilaevis (tongue sole) is the source of this 139-nucleotide small nucleolar RNA. Ensembl annotates it as small nucleolar RNA SNORA22. The record is from Ensembl. Lineage: Eukaryota; Metazoa; Chordata; Actinopteri; Pleuronectiformes; Cynoglossidae.